Clupea harengus (Atlantic herring) is the source of this 439-nucleotide long non-coding RNA. NCBI's taxonomy places the organism in Eukaryota, Metazoa, Chordata, Actinopteri, Clupeiformes, Clupeidae. The record is from Ensembl.
UUACCUUCUGAUCUUUCAAUGAAGACUAUCAACAGUGAAUUUUGGAGAUGCAUUUGAAAGAUGACAAGAGCUCAAAAGGAUUUUUAGAUGGAUGCCAAGUUGGCUCAUUUUCAGGACCAGGACCCUCUUGUACCACUAGGACCUGCACUCUCUCCUCUCCUCCUCCUCUCUCUGUUACUCUAUCUCUAGCUCGUCCUCUCCGCCCUCUGCCUCUUGUAUCAGCAGCAUCAGACCACUGGCUUCACUUGACACUGAUCAGGGCACUUCAUAACUGACUGAGUUCUGCAUUAGGCUGCAACAAGGAAGAACAGUAGGCUACUACUCCGAAAUAGAUGUGAAAUGUUUUAUACGUUAUCUGUUAAGUUGAGUAAUAUGUUAUCAGGGCCUGGAAAGAAGUAAUUCCAACUCCAGUGUGGAGCCUAUUUUUGGAGCAGUGGGC